AGUGAACGCUGGCGGUAGGCCUAACACAUGCAAGUCGAACGGCAGCACAGUAAGAGCUUGCUCUUACGGGUGGCGAGUGGCGGACGGGUGAGGAAUACAUCGGAAUCUACUUUUUCGUGGGGGAUAACGUAGGGAAACUUACGCUAAUACCGCAUACGACCUACGGGUGAAAGCAGGGGAUCUUCGGACCUUGCGCGAUUGAAUGAGCCGAUGUCGGAUUAGCUAGUUGGCGGGGUAAAGGCCCACCAAGGCGACGAUCCGUAGCUGGUCUGAGAGGAUGAUCAGCCACACUGGAACUGAGACACGGUCCAGACUCCUACGGGAGGCAGCAGUGGGGAAUAUUGGACAAUGGGCGCAAGCCUGAUCCAGCCAUACCGCGUGAGUGAAGAAGGCCUUCGGGUCGUAAAGCCCUUUUGUUGGGAAAGAAAAGCAGCAGGUUAAUACCCCGCUGUUCUGACGGUACCCAAAGAAUAAGCCCCGGCUAACUUCGUG
This 492-nucleotide ribosomal RNA is filed under the name uncultured bacterium. RNAcentral's name for it is "partial 16S ribosomal RNA". It matches the Rfam family "Bacterial small subunit ribosomal RNA", at positions 29 to 507 of the family's 1533-position model. The record is from RNAcentral.